This 253-nucleotide ribosomal RNA is filed under the name uncultured bacterium. Its description in RNAcentral is "partial 16S ribosomal RNA". It matches the Rfam family "Bacterial small subunit ribosomal RNA", at positions 524 to 776 of the family's 1533-position model. The record is from RNAcentral.
UACGAGGGGUGCUAGCGUUGUUCGGAAUCACUGGGCGUAAAGCGCACGUAGGCGGCGCGUUAAGUCAGGGGUGAAAUCCUGGAGCUCAACUCCAGAACUGCCUUUGAUACUGGCGUGCUCGAGUGUGGGAGAGGUUGGUGGAACUCCGAGUGUAGAGGUGAAAUUCGUAGAUAUUCGGAAGAACACCAGUGGCGAAGGCGGCCAACUGGCCCAUUACUGACGCUGAGGGGCGAAAGCGUGGGGAGCAAAGAGG